Molecule: ribosomal RNA, 376 nt
Filed under: uncultured bacterium
Lineage: Bacteria
Description: bacterial SSU rRNA
Rfam family: Bacterial small subunit ribosomal RNA
Source: RNAcentral
UACGGGGGGUGCGAGCGUUAUUCGGAAUUAUUGGGCGUAAAGGGCGCGCAGGCGGUUCCGCAAGUCGGCUGUGAAAGCCCGGGGCUUAACCCCGGAAGAGCAGUUGAAACUGCGGGACUUGAGUAUGGGAGAGGAAGGCGGAAUUCCUGGUGUAGCGGUGAAAUGCGUAGAUAUCAGGAGGAACACCGGUGGCGAAGGCGGCCUUCCGGACCAAUACUGACGCUGAGGUGCGAGGGCGCGGGGAGCAAACAGGAUUAGAUACCCUGGUAGUCCGCGCAGUAAACGGUGAUCACUUGGUGUGGCGGGUAUUUACCCCUGCCGUGCCGCAGCAAACGUGUUAAGUGAUCCGCCUGGGAAGUACGAUCGCAAGAUUAAA